AAUUAGUGCCCUUGAUCUGAACACUAGUAUGAUAGGCCGAGUAGUGCAAUGCUUAAUAGGACUCAGUAAAAGUUGAGUGAUUGACUGUCCCUCGCGAGUUAUAGGAGUACUAAUGGGCCUCAGACCAAGAGGCCCGUCAGGAACCUCUAUAAAUAGAGGGGUAGGGGCGCCCUAGGGUUUACACCUUUUGGCCAAAGCAUAGCCGCCACGCCUCCCACAC
This 220-nucleotide long non-coding RNA is filed under the name Setaria italica (foxtail millet). RNAcentral describes it as "long non-coding RNA (SITA_LNC001222)". The record is from RNAcentral. Lineage: Eukaryota; Viridiplantae; Streptophyta; Magnoliopsida; Poales; Poaceae.